UAUUCUGCCUUGUUCGUGUUUAUAUGGUUUUUAUAAUCCAACACUUCUAAUUAGGGAAUUCGGCUCCGGCUGUGGAUUGCAGACCUCCUGCUUGCAGAUGAAGGGAGCGUGAAGCAAUCGGGCGUUUACCCACCUGCUUCGUGCGGGUUUUAUUCGCUAUAUUAACGGCAAGGCGGAUUUU
This 181-nucleotide non-coding RNA is filed under the name uncultured Ruminococcus sp. RNAcentral's name for it is "6S / SsrS RNA". It matches the Rfam family "6S / SsrS RNA". From Rfam's summary of the family: E. coli 6S RNA was the first non coding RNA to be sequenced, but its function was unknown until recently. Lineage: Bacteria; Bacillati; Bacillota; Clostridia; Eubacteriales; Oscillospiraceae. The record is from RNAcentral.